AAUGUGGAGCCGUAGCGAAAGCGAGUCUGAAUAGGGCGUUUAGUAUUUGGUCGUAGACCCGAAACCAGGUGAUCUACCCUUGGUCAGGUUGAAGUUCAGGUAACACUGAAUGGAGGACCGAACCGACUUACGUUGAAAAGUGAGCGGAUGAACUGAGGGGAGCGGAGAAAUUCCAAUCGAACCUGGAGAUAGCUGGUUCUCUCCGAAAUAGCUUUAGGGCUAGCCUCAAGUGAUGAUUAUUGGAGGUAGAGCACUGUUUGGACGAGGGGCCCCUCUCGGGUUACCGAAUUCAGACAAACUCCGAAUGCCAAUUAAUUUAACUUGGGAGUCAGAACAUGGGUGAUAAGGUCCGUGUUCGAAAGGGAAACAGCCCAGACCACCAGCUAAGGUCCCAAAAUAUAUGUUAAGUGGAAAAGGAUGUGGCGUUGCCCAGACAACUAGGAUGUUGGCUUAGAAGCAGCCAUCAUUUAAAGAGUGCGUAAUAGCUCACUAGUCGAGUGACACUGCGCCGAAAAUGUACCGGGGCUAAACAUAUUACCGAAGCUGUGGAUUGUCCUUUGGACAAUGGUAGGAGAGCGUUCUAAGGGCGUUGAAGCAUGAUCGUAAGGACAUGUGGAGCGCUUAGAAGUGAGAAUGCCGGUGUGAGUAGCGAAAGACGGGUGAGAAUCCCGUCCACCGAUUGACUAAGGUUUCCAGAGGAAGGCUCGUCCGCUCUGGGUUAGUCGGGUCCUAAGCUGAGGCCGACAGGCGUAGGCGAUGGAUAACAGGUUGAUAUUCCUGUACCACCUAUAAUCGUUUUAAUCGAUGGGGGGACGCAGUAGGAUAGGCGAAGCGUGCGAUUGGAUUGCACGUCUAAGCAGUAAGGCUGAGUAUUAGGCAAAUCCGGUACUCGUUAAGGCUGAGCUGUGAUGGGGAGAAGACAUUGUGUCUUCGAGUCGUUGAUUUCACACUGCCGAGAAAAGCCUCUAGAUAGAAAAUAGGUGCCCGUACCGCAAACCGACACAGGUAGUCAAGAUGAGAAUUCUAAGGUGAGCGAGCGAACUCUCGUUAAGGAACUCGGCAAAAUGACCC
This 1071-nucleotide ribosomal RNA is filed under the name Staphylococcus aureus. RNAcentral's name for it is "partial 23S ribosomal RNA". It matches the Rfam family "Bacterial large subunit ribosomal RNA", at positions 657 to 1728 of the family's 2925-position model. Lineage: Bacteria; Bacillati; Bacillota; Bacilli; Caryophanales; Staphylococcaceae. The record is from RNAcentral.